UGGGGAAUAUUGCGCAAUGGGGGGAACCCUGACGCAGCCAUGCCGCGUGAAUGAAGAAGGCCUUAGGGUUGUAAAGUUCUUUCGGUAUUGAGGAAGGUUGAUGUGUUAAUAGCACAUCAAAUUGACGUUAAAUACAGAAGAAGCACCGGCUAACUCCGUGCCAGCAGCCGCGGUAAUACGGAGGGUGCGAGCGUUAAUCGGAAUAACUGGGCGUAAAGGGCACGCAGGCGGUUAUUUAAGUGAGGUGUGAAAGCCCCGGGCUUAACCUGGGAAUUGCAUUUCAGACUGGGUAACUAGAGUACUUUAGGGAGGGGUAGAAUUCCACGUGUAGCGGUGAAAUGCGUAGAGAUGUGGAGGAAUACCGAAGGCGAAGGCAGCCCCUUGGGAAUGUACUGACGCUCAUGUGCGAAAGCGUGGGGAGCAAACAGGAUUAGAUACCCUGGUAGUCCACGCUGUAAACGCUGUCGAUUUGGGGGUUGGGGUUUAACUCUGGCGCCCGUAGCUAACGUGAUAAAUCGACCGCCUGAGUACGGCCGCAAGGUU
Molecule: ribosomal RNA, 543 nt
Filed under: uncultured bacterium
Lineage: Bacteria
Description: bacterial SSU rRNA
Rfam family: Bacterial small subunit ribosomal RNA
Source: RNAcentral